This 523-nucleotide ribosomal RNA is filed under the name uncultured bacterium. RNAcentral's name for it is "bacterial SSU rRNA". It matches the Rfam family "Bacterial small subunit ribosomal RNA", at positions 355 to 896 of the family's 1533-position model. The record is from RNAcentral.
UGGGGAAUUUUGCGCAAUGGGCGAAAGCCUGACGCAGCGACGCCGCGUGGAGGAUGAAGGUCUUCGGAUUGUAAACUCCUUUUGUAGGGAAAGAUAAUGACGGUACCCUGCGAAUAAGCCACGGCUAACCCUGUGCCAGCAGCCGCGGUAAGACAGAGGUGGCAAGCGUUGUUCGGAAUUACUGGGCUUAAAGGGCGCGUAGGUGUCCUGGCAAGUCAGAUGUGGAAUCUUUCUGCUUAACGGAAAAAUUGCAUUUGAAACUGCCGGGAUUGAGUCAGACAGGGGAUGGCGGAAUUCCUGGUGUAGCGGUGAAAUGCGUAGAUAUCAGGAGGAAGGCCUGUGGUGAAGACGGCCAUCUGGGUCUGAACUGACACUGAGGCGCGAAAGCGUGGGUAGCAAACAGGAUUAGAUACCCUGGUAGUCCACGCCCUAAACGGUGGGUACUAGGUGUGGGGCUCGCAAGGGUUCCGUGCCGAAGGGAAACCAUUAAGUACCCCGCCUGGGGAGUACGGCCGCAAGGUUG